RNAcentral lists this ribosomal RNA (386 nucleotides) under uncultured bacterium. Its description in RNAcentral is "bacterial SSU rRNA". It matches the Rfam family "Bacterial small subunit ribosomal RNA", at positions 28 to 416 of the family's 1533-position model. The record is from RNAcentral.
GACGAACGCUGGCGGCGUGCUUAACACAUGCAAGUCGAGCGGUAAGGCCCUUUCGGGGGUACACGAGCGGCGAACGGGUGAGUAACACGUGGGUGACCUGCCCUCAGCUCUGGGGUAAGCCUGGGAAACCGGGUCUAAUACCGGAUAUGACUCCAUGACGCAUGUUUGUGGGGUGGAAAGCCUUGUGCGGCUGAGGAUGGGCCCGCGGCCUAUCAGCUUGUUGGUGGGGUGANGGCCUACCAAGGCGACGACGGGUAGCCGGCCUGAGAGGCGACCGGCCACACUGGGACUGAGACACGGCCCAGACUCCUACGGGAGGCAGCAGUGGGAAUCUUGCGCAAUGGGCGAAAGCCUGACGCAGCGACGCCGCGUGAGGGAUGACGGCC